UAUUGUUGUUGUCUUUUCUACUAAACUAGGCCCGUGGAGAGAGUCUGCUCAUUGGCCGAGAGGAGGGAAGGAGAAGACUAGGCGAUAGAGGAGUCACUGGGGUCUCCUGGGAAUGGUUAAUAUUUGAAGCAUAUAAGGUUUAUUUUUGAGGCCUCUGUGUUUGUUCAGUGGCUAAUGAGUAGUACUGGCAGCAGGCAGGCAGCUAUCUUAGCGGUCGUAGUAAACGGGAGCUAUGUUACCUUCACUGCAUUUAGGAGCGCCCGGUGAGGAGAGCUGGUGUUCGUAGUGGUGGACUAUUUUUGUCGGCUGUAUCGACUCAACCAAUGAGAGCCUGGCACUCAUGUACAUGACCCUGGGCCAAGAACAUGUAUGUAAUGCGCUGCACGGCCACCUCUCUCUCCAUACACGUUUGACAUACUCAGACAUGACAGACUUCUUCCACAUGAGGUUUAAGAUGGAGACUCCGACAUCAUCAAAUCUGUCGUUCUGCCCCUGAACAAGGCAGUUAACCCACUGUUCCUAGGCCGUCAUUGUAAAUAAGAAUUUGUUCUUAACUGAUUUGCCUAGUUAAAUAAAGGUAAAAUAAAAAAAAGAAUCAGAGGACGAGAGAAAAGGAGAAGACCAAGUACCGAUGACCUGUGUUAAGAGCCGGCUUUACCAACAUCAGCAAAUCAAUAUUUUUAUACCAGAGUCGUUCUUGAAUUGCGGUGGCAUUUGGGUAUGGCAUACAAAAAAAAAAAAAACAUUAUUUCUAGAUAUGUAUUUACCAUUAGGAUAACAUUGUGCCACCAGUAGGAGUCAUAACACCAAUGAGAAUUUUGGUUAUUGAGGAUUUUCUUAAAUGGAGGCCACAGAUGCUUAAAUCUAAGGUCAUUAACCCAUAAAAUAGUUGACUAAAGGGAUAUGAUUAAUAAUUUAGCUCAAUGUUAUUUCCCUUCAUUUUAAAUUGACACCAAGUGAUACUGGAUUUAGACACACCACAUUAUCAAUGGAAUCCUCAAAUGUAUGACAUAAUAAAAGAAAGUGUGAUUAGCUAACACUUUUCUUUAAUAAAGAUGUUUUCCUCCGGAGGGAAGGGUCGAGGUCCUUGUAUAUCUUUGUAAUGAGUGGUUUUCAAGGCGGUAACACCAAGGAAAUAAAACGGACGGACCGAUAUAGUAGUAAAAAAAAAAAGUAUUUUAAUAGCCUUUGUUUUUAUUAAUCUAUACAAUAUAUAUUAAAUACCUUUUUCAUUUACUAACAUUCAAAAUAAUAUAUAGCUCUAAAUCCCCAAAAUGUCACUACAACGUCACACAUCACUACUGGGACAAGCCAAUGUGAUUACUUACCCUAAGUACUUUAUACUGCAAAACUUUCUGUUAAUACAUUGUUAAAUGGACUUGCAUUACAGUAGCUA
RNAcentral lists this long non-coding RNA (1396 nucleotides) under Salmo trutta (river trout). RNAcentral's name for it is "lncRNA (ENSSTUG00000011197.1)". The record is from RNAcentral. Lineage: Eukaryota; Metazoa; Chordata; Actinopteri; Salmoniformes; Salmonidae.